CAGGCUGUUUGGGGAGGCACAGCUUCCCUACCCAGCCCUCCAUACAGUUAGAAAACGCUGAUGUGGCCCUUGGGCCAAAAAGUUUGCCCACCUCGAUCUAUACAAAUAGAAUAGAUAAUCUAAAUCAAUAGAUAUGGAAUAAGGACUAGUAGAUGUGCCACAUUAACAGAUUGACCAGAUCUGAAAAUUUGCCAUACCUGAAAAAUCAGCCACCUAACUGCUCAGAGCUAGCAUGCUAAAGUUCUUUCAAAUGUUACGCCACCCUUGAAAUAAAUGGAAUUCCUGUUAGUCUAGAGGUGAAAGGUAGUAUAAAUACACAGUACAACACCAGACACCAAGCUCAGCAAAACUACUGGGAAAUAGAGAAGGGAAAUAUAAAAUUGGAUGUCAGGUUGUUUAAAAGGCUGAUCCUUGUUCACAAGGUUUUUUGUCUUUGCUUGUGUGAAGGAACAGGGAACUAGAAGGCAGAUACGAAAUCAGGGGCCUGAUUCUUUACUACUGCUUCACACUACUCCGACGGGUAACUGGACGUUAAACUGAGUAUAAAUGUAAUAUAUUUACAACCUCCUUUCAGUCUUAAUGAGAAUCAGGCCUCAGAAGUUUGAUUUCUUUGUUUUUACUAGUGUUGCUUAAAGGAGAACACUACUGAAAUUCUAAAGAGACUCAAACAAAACCUGCAAUGUGUAUAUAUGGGUUUUUUAACAGCUGUUCCAUGUAGAAUGGUGGUGAGGGAAAGGGUUUCAAGGUGGUAAUACUUCCUUAUCUUCAGAGGAAAAAAGGAUUAAGCUCUGGAAGAAAAAAACAUGAAAUGAAAGUGUUAGUUAAUGUUUUUAGUGUCUUUACCCAGUGGAUUAAAUCGCUCAUGUAUUUCCUUAUUGCACAGAUGGUUACUAAGUUCUUCACUACUUAGAUGGUUUGCCCACAAAUAUUAGCUACUUAUUAUUUGCUGAGGAGAGAGAUCUCUGGUUUGAGUUGCUCACUUUGAGCAGAGCGGAUUAGGGGUUUGUGGGGCCCUGAGUCAGAGCAAGUGGGGGCCCCACCCCACUCCUUCUGCCUGCAAUUCCCCUCCCCCAUGCUUCUUCUGGGGAAGGGGGUUGGGAUGCGGGGGCUUCCCCCGCUCCCCAGCAGGAACGCUGGAUGGAGUGGGUCGAGGCACGGGGGCCCCCAAAUUGGCCGGGGCCCUGGGUAUGGGCCCCAUUGGCCCAGUGGCUAAUCUGCCACUGCUUUGAGAAAGAAAGGUAUUCUGAAAAAUUGAUUGCAAAAGAUAUUUAAGGCUUUGUCCCUGGGUCUUAGUGACAUCAGUUAAACAUUUCAUGUUUGACUAAUACAGUGGUAUUGUCCAAAACCCAGUGAAGUCAACAGGAAAUUUUUCUGUUGAUUUCAGUGGACUUUGGUUCUAGACCUAGAGGAAGGAAAGAAACAAAGGCAAUGCAUUUUAAAGCCAACCAUUCCAUAUGCAACACAUUUACUGCCUUUGACAACAGGCAGCUUUACACGUAGAGCUCCUAGUUACACAUCCGUGUAAGGAAAGUUGGUCAUUUGAGUUUUGCAAUUACUGAAAGAUGCCUUAAGACUGCUUUCUCUGCUCUCUGCAACUUAGCCUUCAGCCAUCUUUCUGUGUGUUUUAUUUUGUUCUUUGUUUUUUUGUUUUGCUAUAAUACUUAUUCUAAUCCUGUAGAAAUGGUAGCAUUCAACAAACCUUAACAACUGCAAAUAAGGUAUUGGCAUUGGAAGGGUUAUUUUAAAUUUUAGCUUUUGGUUAUGUAUUCUAAGCGGUUUAUAUUGAGUGUAUGGCUACCAUGGGCAAAUAGGAUGAUCUAGUCUAACCCAUUAAAAGCACUGAGACUGUCUACAGACCCUUCACUUUUUUCUCGUAGUACUUACUUGUAACAAAGAUACUGGAGAAAUAAUUUGCACUUUGGAGGCAGGUUUGAAUCUAUAAUUGUCGAAAGAUAAGCUCUGGGGAGAAAAACAAAAUGUGCUUCAGUGAAAAACAGUUGUCUGGCUGAAUGUGUACCUAUGCACAUGGGGUGAAAUUCUGACCCCAUUCACCCAGGGUUUUCUCACUGUAUAAAAAAUUCCAUCUUGUCAUCACCUAGUGAAAAUAGGCAGACCCCAAAAGUGGUGGCCUCUUCUACAUCAUUGCCCAAAGCAAUGCCUUCCGCAGCACCCAGCACCACUGCAUUCUUUUUAAGAGCCCUACCAGUGUCAAACAUUUGUUCUCUCAACAUCCACCAAUUCAGCAGUUCACAGCUGCUGGAGGAAACUUCACCCAAACUUUACUUCCUGAAUUGCAGUGUUCUGAAGCCAUGGUUCUGUAUAUGCAGAGCGAGGGGCUCUAGUAACACUCUCUGAGAUUACAGUUUUAAACUGCAGCAGUAAUAAAUAGAAAUAUAAGUAAUAAUUAAAAAGCCAAGAGCCUUAAGUCCUAACUACUAUUUAAAGACAAAGCACAGUUGCAAAUUCAUUUUGAAUACUGUGUAGAAUUCGCAUGAUAAAUGGAGGGUGUCUCUUAUUGAUCAGGUAAUAAUAACUAUAUCCUAUUCUGAUAAGCACCGUGUCCAAAAUUACUGAGUUAACAGGGAACACCCAGAAGUUAACAACACACUGAAAUGUGCUCUUCCCCACUGCUGCACCUCUCAGGAAGGGUAUUUGCCACACUCCAAUGGCAAAUGUGAUUUGUUUUAUAUUGGAUUUAUUUUAAAAGCUUCCUCUAUCCUGGCAAAGGUUAUUUUUACAUUCAGCAUAAAAAGCUGCAAAUAUUGGUGUAGGGGGACUGGACUCUUCCAUGCUCCCUGCUCCAGGUCAGUGCUGCUGAGCUGAAGCUAAGGAGGGAGGGGUAGCUUUUGAAGAAAAUAUAAUCUGAAAGACAAAUGACUUGGGAGAGGAUUUAGCAUUCCUCUAGAGCAAGGAGGACUAGGGGCACGGGCUAGGAGGACUAGGGGCACAUGGGUAGAAGGGUGGGGAAGGCAUGAUUAGUUGAGGUGUUGUAGUCACCUGAGACUACUGAGAGCAGUAGCUAAGCAGAGCACGGAUUUGUAUGCCAUACAGUUAUUAGGCCAAUUGGACACACACAUCCCAGCCAAUAAGAGUGCAGAGAGCUACACAGAGAAAUAAUUGGACAGUUGUGGGUCAAUAAUUGUGCUGCUUCUGUGCACCGCAGUUGACUGAGACAAUUCUGGUUCAGCAUAACUAUUGUUCAUUGAGUUUGUAAAAAUGUCUUUUCCCUCUGCAUUUUUCUUUAAAUUGUUCAUGUGAGUAAAUUUUGAGCUGGCAGUUGAAAUUGCAUUUUAAAUUCAAACACAGCUACCCUGUUACCAAAGUUUAGUUGUAUGUGGGGUUUUUGGUUUAUUUUUUGUUGCUUUCUUUUUUUUUCUGUAUCGUGUUGUGUACAGUAUUAUACAUAUGUGACAUUAUGUAAGCAAUUACUAUGCAUAGAAAGCUAUUGUGACUGGCUGGAGUGUUACAAGAUUAUAGAAACCUGCAGUAGGUUCAUCUUAAAGGUAGAAAUGCAAAAUGGAUCCUUCCGAGUUGAUUUUGAUUUCACAAAAAAUUGUAAGUUGGGCAAAGAUGAUAUUUCUGUUCAAACACCUGCUUAAGAUUCCUCCUUGGCAACAUGCCUGGAGAUAGACAUCAACUCCAUACCGUCAUAUGCUUCCUUUAAAAGCUGCCUUUAGACCAGUAUUAGCCCAAGCGCUCUAGCACUUUGGUAUUGCAUUGCCUGUCCCUCCACAAAUGCGCAUGGAAACAGCACAAAAGCACUAAGCAUUAACUGAAAACAAUUUCCAAUUCAAAAAACAAUUUAAAAAAAAUCCUAAUCUCCUGGAAAGUGUUACUUUAGUGAUGUCUUUGUUUUUUUUCCCCAUCCCCGUAAACCCCACGAUCACGCUACAUUCUCCCCUCCUCUUUGCAAACAGACAGAAAAGGCCUGUUUACAAACACUUCUGAGGGGAAGUUUGUAACGUCCACUGAAUUAUUUGCUGGGGAAGGUGCUUCCAUUCAGCAGAUGAAUUGUAAAUAUUCUGCAUAUGCUUUGUUGACAACACACAAAAUGGAAAAAAGUUGUAUCUGUGAAAUAUUAAGCUAUAUAUGUAUAUAGAUAAAAAAAAUAUUACCUUUGACUCGUUACUACAGAGCUGUAAUCAACUGUAUAUUAAACUGUUUUACUGUAUUGCAGAACAUUUCAUGCUAUCUUAGAUGUAGAAAAGCUGGGAAAGUAAUUCACAAUACAAUAUGUCAACUUAAAAUUUGUUUGCUUUUUUAUUUUGCUUAGGCACAACUUCAAACAGAAUCUGUGCCAGUUGUACAUUGUUUCAGAGAAUUACAGUUUGGAACACAAAUUCUUGGACCUUUUAUUUACUGAACAUUGACUCCUCACAAUAGUUCUUUGUGAUUGCUUAUUCACUCAUUUCAUUUGUGGUUAGUUAGGAUAUUUGAGAGGAAUUUUAAAAAGUAAAGGGACUUCCCAGGUAGUUUAGGGCUCAGAUUAGAAGUACUCUUAUUAUUUGGUGACAAAUCAUCUUAAAUUCUAAAUACCAGUUUAAAAAACUCCUUUCUGAAACAGACAUUUUUUUUUUAUAAUACACUACUAUACAUUGUGAGUCUGCACUACAGCAACAGGUAACUGACAGACAAUGCUCUUGGAAGAGUGCUAUUGUCACUCUUAAUUCAGGUGCAAAUCUAAGGAAAUGAAGAAAAAAAGCCAUAUUGAUUUUAGUUUCAGUAGAAUCUCUAAGGAAAGAGUUCGACUAAGGUUUUCAAAGCCUUAAUGUUUGUCAACUAGAAAAUUGAACACUAUAGACAAGAUGUAGUAUGGUAAGUAGCACAGUACACUGUACAAAUUGGGUAUCUCCAACAAGCAUCCUGUUGUAUUUUACUUGGGUUCAUGUGGCUUUGAUAUAUUUAACUCAAAAGAUUUAAAGAAAAUUCUGAACUCUUGCAAAAUAAGUUUGAUGUGCAGAAGAAAGGAAGGUUUUUUCUUUUUUCUGGAUUCUGUGUCCACCCUACUCCACCCAAUGCACUCCUCAUAUCUUUAUGCGUGCCAAAUGAACCUUAAUUGCCACAUCUUUUAAAGGACAUCUUUAAAUCCUUUUUACCUGGUGAUGACAGAGCUAUCCAGUUGUAGAUUAUUUGGCAUGUUAAAUUGGACAGCAAAUGAAUUGUGGCUUUACUGUUGUUUAUGUAGCCCCAUUGGUAUGCAAUAGGAUUUCAGCAGAUGCUUCAUUAAGAACUUUGUCCCUCACUGAACCAUAGAGAGCUACAGUCUGAUUUUUCUUAAAGUUUUCUCAAAAGGAAAGGUAAGUAUCAGAGAGCUUGUAUAACGCACAUAUGGUACCAUUCAGUCUUAAGGCAACCAGCCAUUAGCCACAUUUACCACCAUAUUACUCAAACUCAACCCAGGAAUUUUUAUACCAAUACACAUAUUUAACCAGUACUCAAGAGUUCCUGGGUGUCAGCCUUCUGUUGUAAGUGAAAACUGUUUGAACAUUAUCCAAGUAUUUCUGUUUGUUUUCAUUGUAGAUCAUGGUGAUUGUCAACAGCCAAGAGGUAUUUUUUAAUAAAUCUUAUAAAGGAAUUUCCAAUAAA
This is a long non-coding RNA of Dermochelys coriacea (leatherback sea turtle), 5586 nucleotides long. RefSeq lists it as uncharacterized. The transcript is spliced from 2 exons. The record is from RefSeq and is a predicted model, not a curated record. NCBI's taxonomy places the organism in Eukaryota, Metazoa, Chordata, Testudines, Dermochelyidae.